Long non-coding RNA from Cervus elaphus (red deer), 159 nucleotides. RefSeq lists it as uncharacterized. The record is from RefSeq and is a predicted model, not a curated record. NCBI's taxonomy places the organism in Eukaryota, Metazoa, Chordata, Mammalia, Artiodactyla, Cervidae. The transcript has 2 exons.
CAAAAAAUGGGCCAAAGAACUAAACAGACAUUUCUCCAAAGAAGACAUACAGAUGGCUAACAAACACAUGAAAAGAUACUCAACAUCACUCAUUAUCAGAGAAAUGUGAAUCAAAACCACGACGAGGUACCAUCUCACGACAGUCAGAAUUGCUGCUAU